UGGGGAAUAUUGCACAAUGGGCGCAAGCCUGAUGCAGCCAUGCCGCGUGUAUGAAGAAGGCCUUCGGGUUGUAAAGUACUUUCAGCGGGGAGGAAGGGAGUAAAGUUAAUACCUUUGCUCAUUGACGUUACCCGCAGAAGAAGCACCGGCUAACUCCGUGCCAGCAGCCGCGGUAAUACGGAGGGUGCAAGCGUUAAUCGGAAUUACUGGGCGUAAAGCGCACGCAGGCGGUUUGUUAAGUCAGAUGUGAAAUCCCCGGGCUCAACCUGGGAACUGCAGCUGAUACUGGCAAGGUUGAGUCUCGUAGAGGGGGGUAGAAAUCCAGGUGUAGCGGUGAAAUGCGUAGAGAUCUGGAGGAAUACCGGUGGCGAAGGCGGCCCCCUGGACGAAGACUGACGCUCAGGUGCGAAAGCGUGGGGAGCAAACAGG
RNAcentral lists this ribosomal RNA (429 nucleotides) under Chloroflexota bacterium. RNAcentral describes it as "Chloroflexi bacterium partial 16S ribosomal RNA". It matches the Rfam family "Bacterial small subunit ribosomal RNA", at positions 355 to 776 of the family's 1533-position model. Lineage: Bacteria; Bacillati; Chloroflexota. The record is from RNAcentral.